UACGUGCCAGCAGCCGCGGUAAUACGUAGGUCCCGAGCGUUGUCCGGAUUUAUUGGGCGUAAAGCGAGCGCAGGCGGUUAGAUAAGUCUGAAGUUAAAGGCUGUGGCUUAACCAUAGUACGCUUUGGAAACUGUUUAACUUGAGUGCAAGAGGGGAGAGUGGAAUUCCAUGUGUAGCGGUGGAAUGCGCAGAUAUCAGGAAGAACACCGGUGGCGAAGGCGGGUCUCUGGGCCGUUACUGACGCUGAGGAGCGAAAGCGUGGGGAGCGAACAGGAUUAGAUACCCUGGUAGUCCACGCUGUAAACGUUGGGCACUAGGUGUGGGGGCCACCCGUGGUUUCUGCGCCGUAGCUAACGCUUUAAGUGCCCCGCCUGGGGAGUACGGCCGCAAGGCUAAAACUCAAAGGAAUUGACGGGGGCCCGCACAAGCGGCGGAGCAUGCGGAUUAAUUCGAUGCAACGCGAAGAACCUUACCAAGGCUUGACAUGC
Molecule: ribosomal RNA, 488 nt
Filed under: uncultured bacterium
Lineage: Bacteria
Description: bacterial SSU rRNA
Rfam family: Bacterial small subunit ribosomal RNA
Source: RNAcentral